This 465-nucleotide ribosomal RNA is filed under the name Vreelandella stevensii. Its description in RNAcentral is "partial 16S ribosomal RNA". It matches the Rfam family "Bacterial small subunit ribosomal RNA", at positions 338 to 795 of the family's 1533-position model. The record is from RNAcentral. Lineage: Bacteria; Pseudomonadati; Pseudomonadota; Gammaproteobacteria; Oceanospirillales; Halomonadaceae.
CCUACGGGGGGCAGCAGUGGGGAAUAUUGGACAAUGGGCGAAAGCCUGAUCCAGCCAUGCCGCGUGUGUGAAGAAGGCCUUCGGGUUGUAAAGCACUUUCAGUGGGGAAGAAAGCCUUGGGGCUAAUACCCUCGAGGAAGGACAUCACCCACAGAAGAAGCACCGGCUAACUCCGUGCCAGCAGCCGCGGUAAUACGGAGGGUGCGAGCGUUAAUCGGAAUUACUGGGCGUAAAGCGCGCGUAGGCGGUCUGAUAAGCCGGUUGUGAAAGCCCCGGGCUCAACCUGGGAACGGCAUCCGGAACUGUCAGGCUAGAGUGCAGGAGAGGAAGGUAGAAGUCCCGGUGUAGCGGUGAAAUGCGUAGAGAUCGGGAGGAAUACCAGUGGCGAAGGCGGCCUUCUGGACUGACACUGACGCUGAGGUGCGAAAGCGUGGGUAGCAAACAGGAUUAGAUACCCUAGUAGUC